GUGCUCACUUCAGCAGCACGUAUACCAAAAUUGGAACAGUAAGAGAUUGGCAUGGCGCCUGUGAAAGGAUGACACACACAUUCAUGAAGCGUUCUAUAUUUUA
This is a small nuclear RNA of Homo sapiens (human), 103 nucleotides long. NCBI's taxonomy places the organism in Eukaryota, Metazoa, Chordata, Mammalia, Primates, Hominidae. The record is from Ensembl.